UGGCUCAGUUGGUAGAGCAUGGUGCUUGCAACACUAGGGUUAUGGGUUUGAUUCCUAA
Molecule: non-coding RNA, 58 nt
Organism: Salmo salar (Atlantic salmon)
Lineage: Eukaryota; Metazoa; Chordata; Actinopteri; Salmoniformes; Salmonidae
Source: Rfam